Molecule: ribosomal RNA, 650 nt
Filed under: Salipiger marinus
Lineage: Bacteria; Pseudomonadati; Pseudomonadota; Alphaproteobacteria; Rhodobacterales; Roseobacteraceae
Description: bacterial SSU rRNA
Rfam family: Bacterial small subunit ribosomal RNA
Source: RNAcentral
CGGACGGGUGAGUAACGCGUGGGAACGUACCCUUCUCUGCGGAAUAGCCACUGGAAACGGUGAGUAAUACCGCAUACGCCCUUCGGGGGAAAGAUUUAUCGGAGAAGGAUCGGCCCGCGUUGGAUUAGGUAGUUGGUGGGGUAAUGGCCUACCAAGCCUACGAUCCAUAGCUGGUUUGAGAGGAUGAUCAGCCACACUGGGACUGAGACACGGCCCAGACUCCUACGGGAGGCAGCAGUGGGGAAUCUUAGACAAUGGGCGCAAGCCUGAUCUAGCCAUGCCGCGUGAGUGAAGAAGGCCUUAGGGUCGUAAAGCUCUUUCGCUGGGGAAGAUAAUGACUGUACCCAGUAAAGAAACCCCGGCUAACUCCGUGCCAGCAGCCGCGGUAAUACGGAGGGGGUUAGCGUUGUUCGGAAUUACUGGGCGUAAAGCGCGCGUAGGCGGAUCAGAAAGUUGGGGGUGAAAUCCCGGGGCUCAACCUCGGAACUGCCUCCAAAACUCCUGGUCUUGAGUUCGAGAGAGGUGAGUGGAAUUCCGAGUGUAGAGGUGAAAUUCGUAGAUAUUCGGAGGAACACCAGUGGCGAAGGCGGCUCACUGGCUCGAUACUGACGCUGAGGUGCGAAAGUGUGGGGAGCAAACAGGAUUAGAUA